GAUGAACGCUAGCGGGAGGCCUAACACAUGCAAGCCGAGCGGUAUUUGUUCUUCGGAACAGAGAGAGCGGCGCACGGGUGCGGAACACGUGUGCAACCUGCCUUUAUCUGGGGGAUAGCCUUUCGAAAGGAAGAUUAAUACCCCAUAAUAUAUUGAGUGGCAUCAUUUGAUAUUGAAAACUCCGGUGGAUAGAGAUGGGCACGCGCAAGAUUAGAUAGUUGGUGAGGUAACGGCUCACCAAGUCAAUGAUCUUUAGGGGGCCUGAGAGGGUGAUCCCCCACACUGGUACUGAGACACGGACCAGACUCCUACGGGAGGCAGCAGUGAGGAAUAUUGGACAAUGGGUUAGCGCCUGAUCCAGCCAUCCCACGUGAAGGACGACGGCCCUAUGGGUUGUAAACUUCUUUUGUAUAGGGAUAAACCUACUCUCGUGAGAGUAGCUGAAGGUACUAUACGAAUAAGCACCGGCUAACUCCGUG
Molecule: ribosomal RNA, 479 nt
Filed under: uncultured bacterium
Lineage: Bacteria
Description: partial 16S ribosomal RNA
Rfam family: Bacterial small subunit ribosomal RNA
Source: RNAcentral